Molecule: ribosomal RNA, 253 nt
Filed under: uncultured bacterium
Lineage: Bacteria
Description: partial 16S ribosomal RNA
Rfam family: Bacterial small subunit ribosomal RNA
Source: RNAcentral
CACGGGGGGAGCAAGCGUUGUUCGGAAUCACUGGGCGUAAAGGGCGUGUAGGCGGUUAGGUAAGUGGAAUGUGAAAUCCCCCGGCUUACCCGGGGACCUGCAUCCCAUACUGCCUAGCUUGAGUACGGGAGAGGAUGAGGGAAUUCCUGGUGUAGCGGUGAAAUGCGUAGAUAUCAGGAGGAACACCGGUGGCGAAGGCGCUCAUCUGGCCCGAUACUGACGCUGAUGCGCGAAAGCUAGGGGAGCAAACGGG